This 519-nucleotide ribosomal RNA is filed under the name uncultured eukaryote. RNAcentral's name for it is "SSU rRNA". It matches the Rfam family "Eukaryotic small subunit ribosomal RNA", at positions 1161 to 1699 of the family's 1831-position model. The record is from RNAcentral.
AGGGCACCACCAGGAGUGGAGCCUGCGGCUUAAUUUGACUCAACACGGGAAAACUCACCCGGCCCGGACACUGGAAGGAUUGACAGAUUGAGAGCUCUUUCUUGAUUCAGUGGGUGGUGGUGCAUGGCCGUUCUUAGUUGGUGGAGUGAUUUGUCUGGUUAAUUCCGAUAACGAACGAGACUCUAGCCUACUAAAUAGAUCGUCGGCUUACAAACGCCGGCGAGACUUCUUAGAGGGACAGGCGGUGAUUCAACCGCACGAAACAGAGCAAUAACAGGUCUGUGAUGCCCUUAGAUGUCCGGGGCCGCACGCGCGCUACACUGAAGUGAUCAGCGUGCUUUUUCAACCUACUCUGUCAAGAGUGGGGAACCUAAUGAACCUUCUUCGCGAUUGGGAUAGGGGAUUGUAAUUAUUCCCCUUGAACGAGGAAUUCCCAGUAAGCGCGAGUCAUAAGCUCGCGUUGAUUACGUCCCUGCCCUUUGUACACACCGCCCGUCGCUACUACCGAUUGAAUGUUUU